UUUCCGUGCCAAGUUUUGGUCUGAGCUGACGAGGAAGAACAAGUCUGUAUCACAGCCUUAUUCACACGGCUUCAACAUGCCAGACAAGGGCGAAGAAGCAAAAGGUGGAGAUUUUGAUCCAGAAAAUGCCGGACAAAUCCGGACAACUGCCGACCAAACGACUAGAAUCGGUGGUAAGACCGGUGUCGUGUCCGCCUGGCCCUUCCCCUAAGUGAUGUGGAUCCGAUGAUAGAGGGGCAACUGUUUCGACUUAAUGACCCGAAACUACGCUGCUCAGAGGCGGACGAUUGCCUGGAGCUUGUGCCGUAGCCAUCAAAACCGCCAAGCAGGGUGAAUGAGAGCUUAUCGA
Long non-coding RNA from Branchiostoma floridae (Florida lancelet), 349 nucleotides. RefSeq lists it as uncharacterized. The record is from RefSeq and is a predicted model, not a curated record. NCBI's taxonomy places the organism in Eukaryota, Metazoa, Chordata, Leptocardii, Amphioxiformes, Branchiostomatidae. The transcript has 3 exons.